RNAcentral lists this long non-coding RNA (272 nucleotides) under Elaeis guineensis (African oil palm). RNAcentral's name for it is "long non-coding RNA (EGUI_LNC007632)". Lineage: Eukaryota; Viridiplantae; Streptophyta; Magnoliopsida; Arecales; Arecaceae. The record is from RNAcentral.
AAUCCGAACCCGACCUGAACCUAUAGGUAUAGGUAAUAUCCGAACCCAUACCCAAAUAUAUAUGUUUAUAAUUCUAUUUUAGUAAUUCUAUUUUAGUAAAUCUGUUUUGAUUGAGAAUAUGCAUAAAAUUAUUUUGGUUAUUUAUAUAUUCUAUGUUGAAUUGUAAUUCUAUUUCUAUAUUUGAUUUCUAUAAAUCUGGACUUAUAAAUUAUGUUCUAUGUUGAAUUGAUAAUUUUAUUUUGAUUGAUAAUAUGCAUAAAAUUAUUUUGGUU